Non-coding RNA from Pangasianodon gigas (Mekong giant catfish), 75 nucleotides. The record is from the annotation of a GenBank genome assembly. NCBI's taxonomy places the organism in Eukaryota, Metazoa, Chordata, Actinopteri, Siluriformes, Pangasiidae.
GGGGCCACGGUGGCUUAGUGGUUAGCGCGCUUGCCUCGCACCUCUAGGGUCAGGGGUUCGAAUCCCCCCCCCCCC